UCGCCAAGUAGCUCUGAGUUAGGUAGCUAGCUAUAGCAUUAUACGAUUCCGCAGGUUAAACACACAUAUAUUUCCAUGCCUUUGCUCUAAGCCGCGUCAAUUCCAUUCCAUCAACACAAGAAGUGUCACUGAAGGAGUAAAGGCUGCAGGUACUCUAGCAAAACUGAAUCUCUAGCAGUAAGUCCUAACAACAAUUUCGUGGCAGCUGCUUGCAUGUCCCUCCUAUUUGGUAUUCCAUCCAUUUUAAAAUAUACUCCCUCCAUUCCAUUGCAAAUUGUAGGUCGUUUUAGGUUUUUAGUUCAUAAAUAUUAUUAUACAUCUAGAAAAGUCAAAACAACCUACAAUUUGGAAACGGAGGGAGCAGGACAUUGUAGUUUUGUUCUAAGUCAUACUUGUCCAACUUUAAUUGAUAGAUGUUGUAUGUUUAGCAACCUAAAUUAUGAUUUCAGAGAUUUGUUGCAAUCAUAUUGGGUUAUGUUUUUUUUGGCUAAGGAAGCAUUGGUGAACACCAGGCCCGAGCCCAUGGGAGUUAUUUAAUUGCACUAGUAUCGACUGAUAUCACCUGGUCUCGUUCUUGGUUCAUGUUUAAAGUUACAGCUAAAAAAAUACACGACCAACAUCAUCAUCUAAGGACAUGUAAAACACUUAUUUGGUCAUGUUUAAUAUAGUUUGUCUAGCUGUCUGUAAACUAUUUAAGGGCCCAUAUUGUAAAACAGUAAGGACGUCUCUCUCAUCUCUCGCCUAUCCUAUUCCUCUCUCUCUCCCCCGGAUCUGCAGGGUGAGGCGGCUCGACGCGGGCGACGCGGCAGCCAUCCCGUCAUGGACAUGGACUUGCCGACAACCACAUGGCUGGCCUUUGCUCUCUUCUUCAUCGUCGCACUAGCGACCAAGAUCACAAGACGACGACAGCAAUCUUCGGGUACUCCGACAAGGAAACGCCGCCCCCCUCCACCCGUGUCUCCGGGGGUCCCUCUCCUAGGCGACCUGCCAGCACUGCUCGCCAAGGGCACGUUGGAACUGAUCCGCGACCGCUACACGAGGCUGGGAAGCGUCUUCACCGUGCGCUUGCUCCACCUGAAGGUGACCUUCCUGGUCGGGCCGGACGUGUCGAGCCAUUUCUACCAGGGGUUCGACUCGGAGAUCAGCCAGGACGAGGUCUCCCAGUUCACCAUCCCCACCUUCGGCCCCGGCGUCGCCUUCGACGUCGACUACGCC
This 1215-nucleotide long non-coding RNA is filed under the name Setaria viridis. RNAcentral describes it as "long non-coding RNA (SVIR_LNC002429)". Lineage: Eukaryota; Viridiplantae; Streptophyta; Magnoliopsida; Poales; Poaceae. The record is from RNAcentral.